UGGGGAAGUUGGUCUGCCGUAUGAUCUGACUGUUUUGGGCUGUGAUAGAAGCUACACAUUAGACAGGAAACAAAAACUUCAGAUAAAGAUAUGAACAGGGCAAAUUUCUGACAGAGGGUGACCUGUCUUUGUUGACCCUAAGAGAUUAUGGAACUCUGAAUAACAGCUUCAGUUGAUCUCCCAGGCUACAGCCAGUUUCAGUUUUCAGCCACGUGAGGCAGUCAUCUUGGAUGUUGGUCUAGUAGAUCCUUUACAUGACUGUAGCCCCAGGUGCUUUCUGGAUGCAAUCAAUGGGAUACUUCAAGCACAAA
Molecule: long non-coding RNA, 311 nt
Organism: Suricata suricatta (meerkat)
Lineage: Eukaryota; Metazoa; Chordata; Mammalia; Carnivora; Herpestidae
Exons: 3
Source: RefSeq, a predicted model, not a curated record